This is a long non-coding RNA of Seriola aureovittata, 3220 nucleotides long. RefSeq lists it as uncharacterized. The record is from RefSeq and is a predicted model, not a curated record. Lineage: Eukaryota; Metazoa; Chordata; Actinopteri; Carangiformes; Carangidae. The transcript is spliced from 5 exons.
AUAGAUUACCUAUUCCGUCAGACUGGAAAGGCCUUGCAGGAUGUACAUCCUGACUCAGAGGAGACUGAUCAGAUGCUGGAGGAUGCACCGAGGAGGAGCUGGAAGAUGAGGGCUUUGAAGAUACUGGUUUAGACCCAACCGUUGAAGUACUGGACCUGUCCUCUGAACCUUCAUCUGUCACCACCAGCUCAGCCCACAGGCCAACUCCCAUCUCUCUUCAGGCCUCUGCUGGUCCUGCAUCUGCUAUUGCUCCAGCAUCACCUGAGCAACAACUGAUGUGCAUGAUAGUCACUCUGGCCCAUCGGCCCUCCCUACCGGCUCUGCACCUGUCCUCCCAACUACCACCGGCCUUCCAGCUACCACGCCCGCUGCAACUGCUUGUCCCUUUUCUUCACCACCCAUCACGCUUGCCCCACCUCAACAACAGCUGGCUUUCAAUUUGCUGACCAAGAAGUCCUCAACCACCAGCUCAGCCUCUGUCUCUCCUCUCCCCACCACCCUCACAACCACUUUCUCUGCUGCUACAGCUACUGCUGGGUCACAAACCAUCACCGCAGCCGCACCUGAGCAACAGCCUAUUUUGUAUGAGCGCGACACCACAUCCUCUGGCCCAAGAGCUGUCAUCCCCAGCACAGUCUCUGCCCCUCCCUACAUCACCAUCCUGCCAGCUACUCUCACCACUCAAACUGCUGGUCCCUCUGGGGAACCUGCCAUGACCCCAGCAGAACCUGAGCAACAGCUGGCUGUUGAUGAGUGCAGUAUCCCAGGGAUGGACUGAGUGGACAGCCUGGCAGAGUACUUGGUGGGGCUGAGGAGUGAAACUGGCCAAAGACUCAGCAACCAACAGGCCAGUACAAUUAAAGCCCUGUGGCAGAACCCUCUGCAAUAUGACCAGCAGCGAGCGGUGUAUGCUGCGCGGCACCAGGUCCGCCUUACCACAGGACGCUUCAGGUGUGCCAAAAAGAGACCUGAAUUUACACCAGGUGUGGAAAGCAUAACACGUUGUUCCUUGGCAUCUUCAGGAUCCCCAGCCCAGUGGCCAGGCUGUAGUCGACUGGUAGAGUCCAUCCGUGUCGAGCUGUGUAACAUUCACAAGAGCCCCAAAAAACAGGGCAUUUACGCACUGACAAGAUGGACUCUGAUCGUCACGGACUACAGGAAAAUCCGGCAGCUGGUCCUGGGUAAUGCAGAGAGCACUACUCUGCAGUUGUUUGAGAUCAGUCAAACAACACUGGUUCAAUGGAACAACAAGAGACUGAAGAGGCAGGGCAGUAGUAUUCUGCUUCAAGGGGUCAAACAGUUGCUUCUGCGCCUCUCCCACCUGUACAGUUGCGCCCCGCAGCUGCAUCCCCACGCCCUGGCCCCCAGCAUCAGUACCACUUGCCCCACAGUACAGUAGGACAAGCAGUGGUCAAGAGGAAGUCUGCAGAGGCAGUUGUUCCCUCAGCCGGCACCUCCACCUACAUCUGCCACAUUUCCUGUUGUCACCAACCCCAGCCCUGUCAUCGCUCCAUUUAUAUUUCUAACCCCACAAGUACCUGGAGCCCAACAGAUCGCUCAUUCUGGCCUGCUUCCCUCCCCACCACCUGCCCGCAGGGCUUACACCCGGACAGUUGAAAAAAAUAAAUGUAGUCAGUGCCACCAGCCCCCCCAAUAAGGAAACUGGUCACAGUCAGUAUUAUGGACACAUAUACUGUCCCCAAAAAGCCAACAUGCCAGUUGAUCAGUGGAUGAAGGAGAUGCGGAAAAAAAAUUGAAAAAAAUUGAUUUGUGACAUUCUGUCUCUGUGUACAUAAUGUAAGUAGUUUUAAAAGAAAAAAAAAAGUCUUGUUAUAUUUUAGUCUUAUUCUAAUAGUUUCCUAGCCUUAUUUAUCUUCUAUUUUUAGUUCAUAUUUUAUUCAUUUUAUUACACUUCAAUUAUUUCUUAGUAUGUGUGCUAUAAUUAUAGGUGUGUGUGUAUGAGAGGGAGAAUUAAGGUGUGAAAUUUGUAAUUUGCUAUAUUUCUACAGAAGUAUCUUUCACUUAUUCAAACACGAGCAUAUAAUGAAUUACAUUGUUGCAGUACUUUCAAUACUUAUUGUAUUCAUUGGUCAGAAAUGUAAAAAUAUCAAAUAUAUUCUAGCCAAAAGUAAAUGCAAAUGUAUUUGUCUAGGUGUGGUGAUUUUUACAAAUAUUUCUUACAUUGCUAUAUAAAGUUUAUUAUUAUUUCAUUAUUAAUAAUAAAAUUUUGACAUUAUGUAAACACUAAACAACACAAUGAACUGCUAUUUGGCUGUAUGGUAUUCACAAGAAGUCCCCAUUCAAUUUGUAUCGCUUAAGUGAUAUUUGAUAGAUUUACAAUGCUUGGUAAUUUUGGGUAGCAACAUGUUCCAGUCAGGAACCGAACCGGGGACCUUUGGAUCUGCAGCUUCCUAUGCAAUACUCAAGUUAAGUGUCAUGUUUGGUCAUAUUUCUCAAACUAAUGGAGCGUAAACUGUGUCCAAUAAUUUGUAAUGGGCAGCAGAGACACUAAUGAUCAGUUCACUUAAUUUCUCUCAAUUUCUGUUCAUUUUUCUCCUUCCCCCUUCUCUCCCCCUCUCUCCCCCCCCCUUGCCAUAAUCAAGGUAGCUUAAAGUGUAAAACGUCACCAAACAUCGUAGUAUAGUGAGGCAUACACAUUUCAAGUCAUAGUAUAGUAAGGCAUGAAUAUGUCAAAAACCGACACAGGAUAUUGUGACAAAAAAUGGCAUAUUGCACAAAAAAACAACAUAUUAUGGCAUAAAAGGUCAUAAAGACGUCAUAGUAUGGUCAGGCAUCAAAAAAUAUAGUAUAGUAAGGCAUAAAAAUUCCCAAAAAAGUCAAUGUACUACGGCAGAAAAAUGCCAAAAAAUGAACAUCAUAACCUGGCAGGCAAUGAGACAAAAUAACAUAAUUAGGCAAAAAAAUGCCAAAAAGGUCAUAGUAUAUUAAGACAUAAAAUGCCAAAAAAUGUCAAAGUAUAGUAUGGUGUAAAAAUGCCAAAAAACGUCAUAGUAUAUUAUGGCAUAAAACGUCAAAAAAACAUCAUUCAAGAUGGCCUCUCUAUCUCAGCUCUCCUGAAACGCUGGUGCCUUUCAGGAACCCAACUUGAUUUUGCUUGGUUGUAUAUUGUCUUUUGUUAAGGCUUCAGUUCUUGUACGUGUAUUUUAAGUUGGCUUUCAUUAUCCUAGCACCCAACACCUACAUUACACUACUGACUUCA